UAGGCAAAGGUUUGUAAUGUAUUAUGGCUGUAUCAAGAAGAGGCUAUUGACACAUUUGUGUGGUAUUUAGUGGAAAGGAACAAGAAAAGGGCUAAAUCAGUUGGUCCAAGUACCAGAGGGAGGUGCCUCUUGAAGAAGCAGCAUACAAAAACAGUGUCCAAGUUCUUAGUAUGCCUCCAAACUUGUCACCACGGUAUUACAGAUCGAAGUUGCAACCGCAGGCUUCAACAGGUACUAUUGUUCACAAUCAACUUGUGGAAAUUCAAGAAUUAUGGCAUUGCAUGUCUUCCAGAUUGCAAAUCACCCAUCUUCACCAUCCCUUGUUCAAAAGCUCUGAAGAACUCAGCUUGGUCUUCACUAAACAUCUUCACAU
Molecule: non-coding RNA, 373 nt
Organism: Camelina sativa (false flax)
Lineage: Eukaryota; Viridiplantae; Streptophyta; Magnoliopsida; Brassicales; Brassicaceae
Source: RefSeq, a predicted model, not a curated record